AUUACUAUGAUGACCAAUCACACAAAAUUUAUCGGUAAUUACAGUAUUAAUUAUCUCCAAUAGAGAGAUCACAUCUGGAACAAUAGCAUCAGUGGAAGAUACUCCAUGGUAUCCGUGGAGUAUCUAAUCCAUCAUAUUCUUUGAAGAUCAAUUCUUCUUUUACAGACACUGAAAAGAUAAAUGAAAAUUCAAAAGAAGGCCUAGUUUACACACCAUCAACAUAUGGAAGUAAUGCGGGGAGCCGCAAAGAGAAGAGUAAGAAGUACCUCCGAAACCGUAAGACACUAAGCUACUGCUAUAAGCCAAGGAUAUAGCCAAUAGAAAUACAAUGUGAAAAUAUCUACAUUAAAAAAGAAGAAAGAUCUAAAGAGUAAGGGCCCAGGCAGCUGAGGCAAGCAUAUCUCUGACAUUCACAGAAUACCAAUGAAGCUAAGGUCACCAGUACGUCAUGCAAGUGGGAGCUGAGAAUCCUGAAAGAGUUGAGUGCACAUGGCAUCUUCUCUCAUUGAUGACGCCGAUGAAGAGAUCGCCCCGUAUAACAAGAGAAGAAAGUUAUAAUCUCACAAACCAAUUGCUAAAUUUCACCAAAGUGAUUGCUUUAAAAUAUUACUGGGAAGAAACUGGGAAUUUACAUCAAGAGUUCUAGAAAUGAGUUAAAGGGACAAAAUAGAAGAGGUAUGCCAGCUUUAAAAAAAUGGGACCAUGCAGCUGUGCACCAUAUGUCUACCUGAAGUAUGCCAAUUAUAUGUCAUAAAAGAAGGAUGGAGACAAAAUCUGGCUAAAUCAGUGAAAGGCUGUCUUAACCAGUGAAAAUCACCUUGUCUGAAUUGAAAAAACCCAUCCAAGAACCUGGACCAACACUGAUUGAAAUCAAAGAGUUAAUCUGAUUUUAUGUUUUCCUAAUUCAAAUGAUUUUUUUUUUCAGCCUACCCCCAAAGGUUUGGAAAUAUACAAAUACCAGUUUUUAAUGCACAACUCUGUAGAUGACUGUGAAUAUAAAUUUUGCAUUUUAUAAGUCAUAAUUUUAGAAUUUAUUAUCAAUUCAUCCCAAAUAGGUUAACAUAUGAACUUCGUACCAAAGAAGAUUUACUCAAAGUAGUAAAUAACUGUGUUUUUCUACAAAUUAUAUACAGUCUUAAUUUGGAAAAAUAUAUAACAAAUAUUUUAUUAAUAGUGGUUUAUUGGCUAAUAUAUCAGCUUUCCAAAGAUAAAGCAUUAAAAACAUACAUUCUAAAUUAAAUACUUAGACACUCAUUCACAUUUGAAAUAAGAUCUUUUAAAAGAAAUAGAAAGCAGUGCCUGGCUGACUCAGUUGGUAGAGCAUAUGACCCUUGAUCUCAGGGUAAUGGUUUCAGUCUCACAUUGGAUGUAGAGAUUACUUAAGGAAAUUAAAAAAUAAUAAUAAUUAAUUCUCUUUUAAAAAUAAGAAAUAAAAAGAGGUGAUGGAGAAACUAACGUUAAAUUAUUUUAUCUCUUGUUAUGUCUUUUAUGUUUGACAAUUAUUUGUGACCAAUUUAUUCACAUAGACUAUUUCUAGUUAGAUCACAACAGGCCACUUGCAUACUACAACUGAAUUUAGAAGUCUUUACGAGUGGUCACUUGAUAUAGGAAAUGUGAUUUAUAUUUUAGAUGUAUAGAUCAAAAGGAAAUUUGUUAAAUGGCAUUUAACAAAUUUCUACUGUUAGAAAUAAUGAGAGAAUUCCACAAUGUGGAUGUAUAUGAGAUGCAAUAUCAAAAAAAAGAACAAUUCUUGCAGCAACAAAGAAAUGUACUAAAAUUUUUAUAAAAUUAUCCUAUUCACAAUUACAACAAAUUUGUAAUGUACAUAAGAAUAAUCAUAACAAGAAAUCUGUGGGAUUAUAAUAAGAAAAUAAAUAAAUUUUACUAAAAUAUUUUAAAACAAUGUAUUAUCAAUUAUUGAUUUUGAUAUUGAUUAUAAAUAUAAAGAUGAACAUAAAUUGAUUAUAAAUUAUAAUAUAUGUAAGUCCUGGAGAUGUAAUGUACAGUAUAUGCCUAUAGUUAUUAAUAAUGUAUUACAUACUUGAAAGUCACUAAGAAAAUAGAUCUUAAAAGUUCUCAUCAUAAGAAAAAAUUACAUAACUAUUUGGUAAUGGAUGGGUUGACUAGAUUUUUGGUGAUCAUUUAAUAAUUUAUACAUACUGAAUCAUUAUGUUAUACACCUGAAACUAAUUUAAUGUUAUAUUUCAAUUGUAUCUCCAUACAAAUAUUUUUUAAAAGAAAAUAAAUUAAGCAAAACAUAUAUGAUCAUGGAUAUGAAGGUUCAGUAUUAGAGAGACAUUAUUUUCCAUAUUUUUUCCAUUUUCCAUAUUUCCAUAUACCCUUAUUUUCCAUAAGUUAAUAUAGUAAUUAAAUUACAUCUUAAUCAAAAUCCAAAAAUGGGUUUUUUAUGGAAAAUUAUGCUUGACUUUAAAACUCAUGGGGCACCUGGGUGGCUCAGUGGGUUAAAGCCUCUGCCUUCAGCUCAGAUCAUGAUCCCAGGGUCCUGGGAUUGAGCCCCGCAUCGGGCUUUCUGCUCAGCAGGGAGCCUGCUUCCUCCUCUCUCUCUGCCUGCCUCUCUGCCUACUUGUGAUCUCUGUCUGUCAAAUAAAUAAAUAAAAUCUUUAAUAAAAAAAUAAAAUAAAACUCAUAGGGCAAAAUAAAUGCACAUUAAAA
Molecule: long non-coding RNA, 2673 nt
Organism: Mustela lutreola (European mink)
Lineage: Eukaryota; Metazoa; Chordata; Mammalia; Carnivora; Mustelidae
Exons: 6
Source: RefSeq, a predicted model, not a curated record